Molecule: ribosomal RNA, 506 nt
Filed under: uncultured bacterium
Lineage: Bacteria
Description: bacterial SSU rRNA
Rfam family: Bacterial small subunit ribosomal RNA
Source: RNAcentral
AGCGUGAGCAUGUGUUAUUCGACGCAACGCGAAGAACCUUACCUGGGCUUGAACUGCUUGGGCUUUUCCCAGAAACGGGAAGGUUCCUUCGGGGACCCAAGUAGAGGUGCUGCAUGGCUGUCGUCAGCUCGUGUCGUGAGGUGUUGGGUUAAGUCCCGCAACGAGCGCAACCCUCGUCCUGUGUUGCCAUUUUGGGACUCACAGGAGACCGCCAGCGAUAAGCUGGAGGAAGGUGGGGACGACGUCAAGUCAUCAUGGCCUUUAUGUCCAGGGCUACACACGUGCUACAAUGGGUGGUACAACGGGUUGCGAAGCCGUGAGGCGGAGCUAAUCCCUAAAAACCAUCCCCAGUUCGGAUGCAGGCUGCAACUCGCCUGCAUGAAGUUGGAAUCGCUAGUAAUGGCGUAUCAGAACGACGCCGUGAAUACGUUCCCGGGCCUUGUACACACCGCCCGUCACAUCACGAAAGUGGAUUGUACUAGAAAUCCGUGCCUUACUUCGGAGGA